Molecule: unclassified non-coding RNA, 201 nt
Filed under: Hevea brasiliensis (rubber tree)
Lineage: Eukaryota; Viridiplantae; Streptophyta; Magnoliopsida; Malpighiales; Euphorbiaceae
Source: RNAcentral
UACACUUAAAUAUUAGUGAGGAGACAUGAAAUAAUAAAAUACAAUAGAGGAAAAUAAAAGAAAAAUAAAGGAAAAAUAAAAUAGAGAAAAUGUAACUAAGUUCAACGAGCCAAAAACCGUAGUGAUGGGUGACCGCACUGGAAAGUGGCGGCAUGGAUCGUUGACUAGCCCUGAACCGCGGGGAACCCUGGAAAAUAUUUU